RNAcentral lists this ribosomal RNA (460 nucleotides) under uncultured bacterium. RNAcentral's name for it is "partial 16S ribosomal RNA". It matches the Rfam family "Bacterial small subunit ribosomal RNA", at positions 338 to 795 of the family's 1533-position model. The record is from RNAcentral.
CCUACGGGUGGCAGCAGUGAGGAAUAUUGGUCAAUGGGCUUACGCCUGAACCAGCCAAGUCGCGUGAGGGAAGACUGCCCUAUGGGUUGUAAACCUCUUUUGUCAGGGAGCAACGCCGGCUACGUGUAGCCGGACUGAGAGUACCUGAAGAAAAAGCAUCGGCUAACUCCGUGCCAGCAGCCGCGGUAAUACGGAGGAUGCGAGCGUUAUCCGGAUUUAUUGGGUUUAAAGGGUGCGUAGGCGGGCUUUUAAGUCAGCGGUAAAAAUUCGGGGCUCAACCCCGUCCGGCCGUUGAAACUGGGGGCCUUGAGUGGGCGAGAAGAAGGCGGAAUGCGUGGUGUAGCGGUGAAAUGCAUAGAUAUCACGCAGAACCCCGAUUGCGAAGGCAGCCUUCCGGCGCCCUACUGACGCUGAGGCACGAAAGUGCGGGGAUCGAACAGGAUUAGAUACCCGAGUAGUC